CACGUAGGGCGCAAGCGUUGUCCGGAAUUAUUGGGCGUAAAGAGCUCGUAGGCGGUCUGUCGCGUCGGAUGUGAAAACCCAGGGCUCAACCCUGGGCCUGCAUUCGAUACGGGCAGACUAGAGUACGGCAGGGGAGACUGGAAUUCCUGGUGUAGCGGUGAAAUGCGCAGAUAUCAGGAGGAACACCGGUGGCGAAGGCGGGUCUCUGGGCCGAAACUGACGCUGAGGAGCGAAAGCGUGGGGAGCGAACAGG
Molecule: ribosomal RNA, 253 nt
Filed under: uncultured bacterium
Lineage: Bacteria
Description: partial 16S ribosomal RNA
Rfam family: Bacterial small subunit ribosomal RNA
Source: RNAcentral